CAGGGAGACAACAAAAUGUUUAAUAUUAUUAUUUUGUCACCUUAGGUCGAUCGGUAUCUCACGUUUUUAAUUUAUUAAGAAUUUCAUUUCCUAAGUUUUUCUAGGUCACACCCAUUAUUUUUCCUGGGCCAUUAGCUCAGGUGGUUAGAGCGCACCCCUGAUAAGGGUGAGGUCCCUGGUUCAAGUCCAGGAUGGCCCAUACUCUAUGUUGGGGGUAUAGCUCAGUUGGUAGAGCGCCUGCUUUGCAAGCAGGAUGUCAGCGGUUCGAGUCCGCUUACCUCCACUGAUUACCACCUCUUCCAUAAUCGGUAGAAAGGAAUUGUUUUGAGUUGUGAUCAAAUUCUGAAAGAAUCUAGCUUCCUAAUGAAAUCAUUAAGAUGCUGGACUCAUUGAAUUAAUUUCAUUGUUUUCAGAGAACCUUGACAACUGCAUAGAUUAUUUUUAAAGACAAUAAGCAUCUUUAAUGAUGCAGAUUUAUUAUUUGUGCGAAUGCAUUAAUAACAAUUCUAUUAAGCUGAUGCUUCAAUUUUUGAAGUUAUU
This 540-nucleotide transfer RNA is filed under the name uncultured cyanobacterium. Its description in RNAcentral is "partial 16S-23S ribosomal RNA intergenic spacer". The stretch from base 211 to 283 matches the Rfam family "tRNA". The record is from RNAcentral. Lineage: Bacteria; Bacillati; Cyanobacteriota.